UCUUUUUGAUUCGGAUAAAAAGUAUAGCCUGCCCGAUGCUGUCUGUGAAUGGCCGCAGUAUACCUGACUGUGCUAAGGUAGCAUAAUUGCUUGUCAUUUUAUUGAUGUCUUGUCUGAAAGGUAUUAUGAAGUAGUAUUUUCUUCCUAAUUUUGAUGAAUUUUUAAUCCCAGUAAAAAUACCCGGGUAAUUAAAAAAGACGAGAAGACCCCGUAGAGCUUAAGAAUUUUUUUAGGUUAUUCUUUAGAUGGGACGUUGGAUUUUUCUUCAAAGUUUUUUAGAACCUUUUUGGAAAAAAGGUAAAGCUACCUCGGGGAUAACAGGGUUAUUUUUCUUAAGAGUUCUUAUUGAGAGAAAGGUUUGCUACCUCGAUGUUGAAUCGGAGUUUAUCUUUGGUUGCAGAAGCUACGGAUUUUGUGUCUGUUCGACACUUUAAAUUCUACG
Molecule: ribosomal RNA, 442 nt
Filed under: Prorhynchus sp. III CEL-2014
Lineage: Eukaryota; Metazoa; Platyhelminthes; Prorhynchida; Prorhynchidae
Description: partial 16S ribosomal RNA
Rfam family: Bacterial large subunit ribosomal RNA
Source: RNAcentral